This is a long non-coding RNA of Gastrolobium bilobum, 622 nucleotides long. RefSeq lists it as uncharacterized. The record is from RefSeq and is a predicted model, not a curated record. NCBI's taxonomy places the organism in Eukaryota, Viridiplantae, Streptophyta, Magnoliopsida, Fabales, Fabaceae. The transcript has 3 exons.
AGUCUCUAAAUUCCUCCUCAUUGCAUCGUUCCUUCUUUCCUUAAAAGAAUAGACCAAAUGUGUGAUUUAAUCAUAACCAAUAGUAACUGGGUUAAAAUAAGAAAGUCAAUAAAGUAAAAAUUCAAGUAACCUAAGCCUUGUUCCAUUGUCCAAGUCGGUUCUUCUCUUUAAAAAGAACACAAAAAUAUAAAACUUUCCUUGUCACCUAGUGAGUAUAACCAUAGCUUCUAAUCAUUGUAAGGAGCUUUGGAUGUUCAUCUUUUCUACUCUUCGUCAUGCGACACCAUGGCUGACCUCUUGGUGAAAUGAUGUGUUUUGAAGUUGAAGAAUUAGUCUACUAGAAAUGUUAUAAGGUUGAAGAACAAGUUUGAGAAGCAUUGGAUUAAAUUUGUGAGAUUCAAGUAAGCAUUGGAUUUGAGCUUUUACAGAUGAUGUUGGAGCAUCCAUUCGAGGAGGCCAUAGUAAAGUGUAUAUGUAUAUGACAUGUUUUAAAUGUAUUUUGAGAGAUCCUAUGUAUAUGUUAGAUGAACAGGUAUAGGAUUUACAUUUGACAGCCAUUGAUAUAUUUUGAUGUAUUUUGGUGGACUUAGCCUAUGCUCACUUUCUUUGGUAUCUCAUGUUG